This 197-nucleotide long non-coding RNA is filed under the name Aedes aegypti (yellow fever mosquito). Its description in RNAcentral is "lncRNA AAEL021913". The record is from RNAcentral. Lineage: Eukaryota; Metazoa; Arthropoda; Insecta; Diptera; Culicidae.
GGGUGAUGAGCAAGGUGCGCUCGUUAAUUGGGGUUUUGGGAAAACCAUUAGUAUAGUUGUGACAGACCAAGCUGUAAGGUUGCGUUCAGCAUGUUGCGUCUGAUGAGGGCUGAAGUGAAGUAAGCCGAAACGCGUAACGCAAAAUAUGCUGUUUUUGUCUGUUGUCACCGAGAAAAGCCAAUAUAUAAUAUUAAAUA